AAAGGCUUAGGUUCAAACCCUAGACCAAAGGCCUUCAAAGCCUUAAGCAGGUGUAAAACCACCUAGCCUUUG
RNAcentral lists this transfer RNA (72 nucleotides) under Strigocuscus celebensis (little Celebes cuscus). Its description in RNAcentral is "tRNA-Trp". It matches the Rfam family "tRNA". Rfam says of the family: Transfer RNA (tRNA) molecules are approximately 80 nucleotides in length. Their secondary structure includes four short double-helical elements and three loops (D, anti-codon, and T loops). Lineage: Eukaryota; Metazoa; Chordata; Mammalia; Diprotodontia; Phalangeridae. The record is from RNAcentral.